This 422-nucleotide ribosomal RNA is filed under the name uncultured bacterium. Its description in RNAcentral is "bacterial SSU rRNA". It matches the Rfam family "Bacterial small subunit ribosomal RNA", at positions 355 to 774 of the family's 1533-position model. The record is from RNAcentral.
UAAGGAAUAUUGGUCAAUGGACGCAAGUCUGAACCAGCCAUGCCGCGUGGAGGAUGAAGGCUCUCUGGGUUGUAAACUUCCUUUAUAUGGGACGAAAAAGGGUCUUUCUAGAUCAACUGACGGUACCAUGUGAAUAAGUACCGGCUAACUCCGUGCCAGCAGCCGCGGUAAUACGGAGGGUGCAAGCGUUAUCCGGAUUCACUGGGUCUAAAGGGUGCGUAGGUGGGUUGGUAAGUCAGUGGUGAAAUCUCCGAGCUUAACUUGGAAACUGCCAUUGAUACUAUCAGUCAUGAAUAUUGUGGAGGUCGGCGGAAUAAGUAAUGUAGCAGUGAAAUGCUUAGAUAAGACAUAGAACACCAACUGCGAAGGCAGCAGGCUACGCAUAUAAUGACACUAAGGCACGAAAACGUGGGGAUCAAACA